Molecule: non-coding RNA, 1176 nt
Organism: Podarcis lilfordi (Lilford's wall lizard)
Lineage: Eukaryota; Metazoa; Chordata; Lepidosauria; Squamata; Lacertidae
Source: the annotation of a GenBank genome assembly
AGAGCCUUAAAGAGCCUUAAGUUAGUGUGCAUUCAGUCUUGGGGAAUAUUGUAUUUGUUUUCCUGAUUAUAAUGCUAAUACAGCGGAACCUCGGUUGUCAAACGUAAUCUGUUCCAGAAGUCCGUUCAACUUCUGAAACAUUCUACAACUGAGGCGCAAUUGCCGGUGGGAAAAUUCCUUUAACAAAAUGGAGAAACAUGCCUCAGAAGCUGUGGGGCGCUUUCGAAAAUGGAAGCAUUCACUUCCGGGUUAUUGGCCUUUGGGUUCCAAAUUGUUUGGCUUCUGAAGCGUUCGACAACUGAGGUUCCACUAUAAUCCUCUCCAAUUUUGUUUCCACAUGGCAGUACCUGAAACUGUGGCUUUUUGACUCAUAUACCAGCAUAUGUUACCUUAAAUUUCAAUCACCUCAGUGGACAUGAUAUGACACAACAAUGAUUAUCAUCGGACAACGAUGGGACUCCCUCACCCUUUCUGUGCAUGAUACCCCCUUAAAACAUUUGUCUCUUCCAAAGUCUCUCAAUAAAUUUGGGAUAAGUAACAUCUAGGGAUGCCCCUUGUACAUUGACUUGGUAGAUCUGACAAAGACUUUUGACCUUGUCAGCCCCAAAGAACUCUUUACACUGUUCAACAAGAUAGUUAAUUUUGUUAACUGUUUCUUAACUGUUUUAAUUGUUAUGCUUUUAAAUUGUUUGUCUGUUGUAUUUUUAAUUGAGGAUGUUUUAAUGUCGCAGUGGAUCUAUUAUUGUGCAUUUUAAUUCUGCAUUGAUUUUAUAGUUGUAAACCACUUAGAAGUCAUUUUGGCAUAUAAACUUUAUAUAAAAGAAUACUUCAAAGCCAUGAAGGCAUAAUGAAUACCAGUUGCUCAGUAACAACUGUAUCCUGCUUCUGGAGUUUCUGCCAGAGAAACUGGGUUGGCUACCACAGAAAACAGGCUACUGGGUUACUCUGCCUUUAGUCUGACUCAGUAGAGCUCUUUUUAUUACUUAUAUUAUUCUCUCCCCAAGCCUUAAAUUCCACUAAAUACAACAGAACAGCCCAGAAGGUAAAGAAAUUAUGUGUUCUCCUGAAGGUUAUUAAUCAAGAUGUCCUCUAGCUCAACAACACCAUACUGGACAUCCUUUCUCUCAAAAUCCUGCCAAUCUCAUCUGACUCCUUUAAUUAUCCAGAGAUCCAGGC